Molecule: ribosomal RNA, 301 nt
Filed under: uncultured bacterium
Lineage: Bacteria
Description: partial 16S ribosomal RNA
Rfam family: Bacterial small subunit ribosomal RNA
Source: RNAcentral
CAGUAGCCACGGUAAUACGAAGGGUGCAAGCGUUACUCGGAAUUACUGGGCGUAAAGCGCGCGCAGGCGGCUUUUUAAGUCUGGUGUCUAAGUGCGGGGCUCAACCCCGUGACGCACUGGAAACUGGGAGACUUGAGUGCAGAAGAGGAGAGCGGAAUUCCACGUGUAGCAGUGAAAUGCGUAGAGAUCGGAAGGAACAUCUGUGGCGAAGGCGACUAUCUGGGCCAACACUGACACUGAGGCACGAAAGCGUGGGGAGCAAACAGGAUUAGAUACCCCCGUAGUCCCUGUCUCUUAUACA